CCUACGGGGGGCAGCAGUGAGGAAUAUUGGUCAAUGGACGAGAGUCUGAACCAGCCAAGUAGCGUGAAGGAUGACUGCCCUAGGGGUUGUAAACUUCUUUUAUAUGGGAAUAAAACGUUCCACGUGUGGGAUUUUGUAUGUACCAUAUGAAUAAGGAUCGGCUAACUCCGUGCCAGCAGCCGCGGUAAUACGGAGGAUCCGAGCGUUAUCCGGAUUUAUUGGGUUUAAGGGGAGCGUAGGUGGAUUGUUAAGUCAGUUGUGAAAGUUUGCGGCUCAACCGUAAAAUUGCAGUUGAAACGGGCAGUCUUGAGUACAGUAGAGGUGGGCGGAAUUCGUGGUGUAGCGGUGAAAUGCUUAGAUAUCACGAAGAACUCCGAUUGCGAAGGCAGUUCACUGGACUGCAACUGACACUGAGGCUCGAAAGUGUGGGUAUCAAACAGGAUUAGAUACCCUUGUAGUC
Molecule: ribosomal RNA, 460 nt
Filed under: uncultured bacterium
Lineage: Bacteria
Description: partial 16S ribosomal RNA
Rfam family: Bacterial small subunit ribosomal RNA
Source: RNAcentral